RNAcentral lists this ribosomal RNA (497 nucleotides) under uncultured bacterium. RNAcentral describes it as "partial 16S ribosomal RNA". It matches the Rfam family "Bacterial small subunit ribosomal RNA", at positions 28 to 507 of the family's 1533-position model. The record is from RNAcentral.
GAUGAACGCUGACGGCGUGCCUAAUACAUGCAAGUCGAGCGAACAGACGAGGAGCUUGCUCCUCUGACGUUAGCGGCGGACGGGUGAGUAACACGUGGAUAACCUACCUAUAAGACUGGGAUAACUUCGGGAAACCGGAGCUAAUACCGGAUAAUAUAUUGAACCGCAUGGUUCAAUAGUGAAAGACGGUUUUGCUGUCACUUAUAGAUGGGUCCGCGCCGCAUUAGCUAGUUGGUAAGGUAACGGCUUACCAAGGCAACGAUGCGUAGCCGACCUGAGAGGGUGAUCGGCCACACUGGAACUGAGACACGGUCCAGACUCCUACGGGAGGCAGCAGUAGGGAAUCUUCCGCAAUGGGCGAAAGCUUGACGGAGCAACGCCGCGUGAGUGAUGAAGGUCUUCGGAUCGUAAAACUCUGUUAUUAGGGAAGAACAAAUGUGUAAGUAACUAUGCACGUCUUGACGGUACCUAAUCAGAAAGCCACGGCUAACUACGUG